UACGUAGGGUGCGAGCGUUAAUCGGAAUUACUGGGCGUAAAGCGUGCGCAGGCGGUGAUGUAAGACAGAUGUGAAAUCCCCGGGCUCAACCUGGGGACUGCAUUUGUGACUGCAUCGCUGGAGUGCGGCAGAGGGGGAUGGAAUUCCGCGUGUAGCAGUGAAAUGCGUAGAUAUGCGGAGGAACACCGAUGGCGAAGGCAAUCCCCUGGGCCUGCACUGACGCUCAUGCACGAAAGCGUGGGGAGCAAACAGG
RNAcentral lists this ribosomal RNA (253 nucleotides) under uncultured bacterium. RNAcentral describes it as "partial 16S ribosomal RNA". It matches the Rfam family "Bacterial small subunit ribosomal RNA", at positions 524 to 776 of the family's 1533-position model. The record is from RNAcentral.